This 471-nucleotide ribosomal RNA is filed under the name uncultured bacterium. Its description in RNAcentral is "partial 16S ribosomal RNA". It matches the Rfam family "Bacterial small subunit ribosomal RNA", at positions 28 to 507 of the family's 1533-position model. The record is from RNAcentral.
GACGAACGCUGGCGGCGUGCUUAACACAUGCAAGUCGAACGAUGAAGCGGUGCUUUCACCGUGGAUUAGUGGGGCACGGGUGAGUAAUACAUGAGUGUACUACCUUUGACUCUUGGGUAAGCCUGGGAAACUGUGUCUAAUAUCGGAUACGACCAAUCCCGGUGUGGGGUGUUGGUGGAAAGCGUUAGGGGGUGGUUUUAGAUGGGCUCACGGCCUAUCAGCUUGUUGGUGCGGUAAUGGCUUACCAAGGUGACGACGGGUAGCCGGCCUGAGAGGGUGACCGGCCACACUGGGACUGAGACACGGCCCAGACUCCUACGGGAGGCAGCAGUGGGGAAUAUUGCACAAUGGGCGCAAGCCUGAUGCAGCGACGCCGCGUGAGGGAUGACGGCCUUCGGGUUGUAAACCUCUGUUAGCAUCGAAGAAGCGAAAGUGACGGUAGGUGCAGAGAAAGCGCCGGCUAACUACGCG